UACGAGUGCCCCGAGUGUUAUCCGGAAUCAUUGGGCGUAAAGGGUGUGUAGGCGGUCUUAUUAGUCCUCUGUUAAAUUCUUCGGCUCAACCGGGGGCAUGCAGGGGAAACGGUAAGACUUGAGGGUGCGAGAGGUGUACGGAACUCAUAGUGUAGGGGUGAAAUCCGUUGAUAUUAUGGGGAACACCAAAAGCGAAGGCAGUACACUGGCGCAUUCCUGACGCUGAGACACGAAAGCGUGGGGAUCGAACGGG
Molecule: unclassified non-coding RNA, 253 nt
Filed under: uncultured Parcubacteria group bacterium
Lineage: Bacteria
Description: contains 16S-23S intergenic spacer region
Rfam family: Bacterial small subunit ribosomal RNA
Source: RNAcentral